CCUACGGGUGGCAGCAGUGGGGAAUAUUGCACAAUGGGGGAAACCCUGAUGCAGCGACGCCGCGUGAGUGAAGAAGUAAUUCGUUAUGUAAAGCUCUAUCAGCAGGGAAGAAACUGACGUUACCUGGGUAAGAGGCCCCGGCUAACUACGUGCCAGCAGCCGCGGUAAUACUUAGGGGGCAAGCGUUAUCCGGAUUUACUGGGUGUAAAGGGAGCGUAGACGGCAGUGCAAGUCUGGAGGGAAAGCCCGCGGCCCAACCGCGGGACGGCAUUGGGAACUACCGGGCUGGAGUGCCGGAGAGGUAGGCGGAAUGCCUAGUGUAGCGGUGAAAUGCGUAGAUAUUAGGAGGAACACCAGUGGCGAAGGCGGCCUACUGGACGGUGACUGACGCUGAGGCUCGAAAGCGUGGGGAGCAAACAGGAUUAGAUACCCUUGUAGUC
Molecule: ribosomal RNA, 440 nt
Filed under: uncultured bacterium
Lineage: Bacteria
Description: partial 16S ribosomal RNA
Rfam family: Bacterial small subunit ribosomal RNA
Source: RNAcentral